GAAGAUUGUCUAAGAGCAAAAUUUAGCUUUCUAAAAACCAAAAUUAAAAUUAUUCCUUUUCCAAUAAAUUUUUCUUUCAAAUUUACUUUUUUGACUCUAAUAUUGUCCCUCCAAUUUGACUCUAUAAUUUGGCAAACUUUCUUUUACAAAAUUGAGUUCCAUGUCUUGAUCCUUGAUUGUCCUUAGAUAAUUAAAAUAUAGUAAUUCAAAGAGUUUUAUAAUCCUAACUUUGAAUGGCAUCUUCUUCUAAAGUUUGAGCCUUUAGACUACCUCAAACUCCCUAAUCUCAUCUUCCAAAGUCAUGCCUUCACUUGGCCAC
RNAcentral lists this long non-coding RNA (319 nucleotides) under Physcomitrium patens. RNAcentral's name for it is "long non-coding RNA (PPAT_LNC007901)". Lineage: Eukaryota; Viridiplantae; Streptophyta; Bryopsida; Funariales; Funariaceae. The record is from RNAcentral.